GAUAAACGCUGGCGGCGUGCAUGAGACAUGCAAGUCGAACGAAGGAUCGGGCUUGCUCGAUCCUUAGUGGCGGACGGCUGAGUAACGCGUAGGUGACCUACCCCGAAGUGGGGAAUAACUGCCCGAAAGGGUGGCUAAUACCGCAUGUGGUCGCACGUUCAUUCGUGCGAGUAAAGCCGCAAGGCGCUUCGGGAGGGGCCUGCGUCCGAUUAGCUCGUUGGUGGGGUAAUGGCUUACCAAGGCGACGAUCGGUAGGUGGUCUGAGAGGACGAUCACCCAGACUGGGACUGAGACACGGCCCAGACUCCUACGGGAGGCAGCAGUCGGGAAUUUUGCCCAAUGGGGGAAACCCUGAAGCAGCAACGCCGCGUGAGGGAUGAAGGCCUUCGGGUUGUAAACCUCUUUUGUCAGGGACGAUGAUGACGGUACCUGGCGAAUAAGCCACGGCUAACUACGUG
Molecule: ribosomal RNA, 458 nt
Filed under: uncultured bacterium
Lineage: Bacteria
Description: partial 16S ribosomal RNA
Rfam family: Bacterial small subunit ribosomal RNA
Source: RNAcentral